AUAAAUUUUCAUCUGGCGAGUCCCCGGACUAGGUUUCACUCUGGGUUUCUGGCCUCUGCCAGCAUCUGACCCAUUUAACUACAUUUAAAUGCUUUCAUUUGCAUAAAAUGCAUUUGGGCUUUGUUCCCCGGCCUGGUGGGCGUUGCAUUCGUUUUCGGUUUCCGUGUCUUUCUGUGCAUUUCUAAUGAAUUAUUAACCCAGAAUGGGUGAAAACGCAGCAUCCCAAUGCCGAUGCAUCUGCAGACCCGACAACCAAAGACCAAAGUCGGCCCAAAGCUAAUUGACUCUAAAAAUAGACGGAUCAGGUUUUUUUAGAACCCAACCUGGGGGGAACAAGUUUCCACAGAGGAGGCCCAGCCAAAGUCAAAGCCAAAGCUUUGUGCUCUGAGCUGGAAGACUCAGCACCACAAAUGGCUUUCUUGUAGAAUCGUUUAACCAAACAAGAAGACAACAAGAAAAAUCCGCCGAUCAAAUGCAAUCGAGUCAACAAGGAAUGAGAGUGAAAAAAAGACUAAGCAGGAGGAGUUGGGGGCAGCAUCAGAAGGAGUUACACAAGAUCGGUUCCAGACUGGGAUAAAGACUAAUAAUGGCUGCACAGUUGGACAAUGUACACUCGUAAAAACAAACAUGAUUGAUGACAACUACCAAGUCUCUGGUUAAGACUCCACCACCACAC
This is a long non-coding RNA of Drosophila ananassae, 676 nucleotides long. RefSeq lists it as uncharacterized. The transcript has 2 exons. The record is from RefSeq and is a predicted model, not a curated record. Lineage: Eukaryota; Metazoa; Arthropoda; Insecta; Diptera; Drosophilidae.